RNAcentral lists this ribosomal RNA (254 nucleotides) under uncultured bacterium. Its description in RNAcentral is "partial 16S ribosomal RNA". It matches the Rfam family "Bacterial small subunit ribosomal RNA", at positions 524 to 776 of the family's 1533-position model. The record is from RNAcentral.
UACGGAGGGGGCUAGCGUUGUUCGGAAUUACUGGGCGUAAAGGGCGCGUAGGCGGCGACCCAAGUCAGAUGUGAAAGUCCUGGGCUUAACCUGGGGACUGCAUUUGAUACUGGGUUGCUUGAAUUCGGGAGAGGAUAGCGGAAUUCCCAGUGUAGAGGUGAAAUUCGUAGAUAUUGGGAAGAACACCGGUGGCGAAGGCGGCUAUCUGGACCGACAUUGACGCUGAGGCGCGAAAAGCGUGGGGAGCAAACAGG